GACGACCGGCGCACGGGUGAGUAACGCGUAUGCAACCUACCUUUUACAGGAGGAUAGCCCAGAGAAAUUUGGAUUAAUACUCCAUAGUACUAAUGAAUCACCUGGUUCAUUAGUUAAAACUCCGGUGGUAAAAGAUGGGCAUGCGUGUCAUUAGCUAGUUGGUAAGGUAACGGCUUACCAAGGCGAAGAUGACUAGGGGUUCUGAGAGGAAGAUCCCCCACACUGGUACUGAGACACGGACCAGACUCCUACGGGAGGCAGCAGUGAGGAAUAUUGGUCAAUGGGUGAGAGCCUGAACCAGCCAUGUCGCGUGAAGGAAGACUGCCCUAUGGGUUGUAAACUUCUUUUCUGCAGGAAGAAAUCACUCUACGUGUAGGGUGUUGCCGGUACUGCAGGAAUAAGCAUAGGCUAACUCCGUGCCAGAAGCCAGCGGUAAUACGGAGGAUGCAAGAGUAAUCCGGAUAUAUUGGGUAUAAGAGGGUGCAAUAAGCGGGCUUGUAAGUCAGUGGUGAAAUGCUGUGGCUUAACCAUAGAAUUGCCAUUGAAACUGCAAGUCUUGAGUACAGUUGAGGUGGGCGGAAUGAGUAAUGUAGCGGUGAAAUGCAUAGAUAUUACUCAGAACUCCGAUUGCGUAGGCAGCUUGCUAAACUGUAACUGACGCUGAUGCACGAAAGCGUGGGGAGCGAACAGGAUUAGAUACCCUGGUAGUCCACGCUGUAAACGAUGAGCACUGGUUGUUGGCAAUACACCGUCAGCGACUGAGCGAAAGUAUUAAGUGCUCCACCUGGGGAGUACGUCGGCAACGAUGAAACUCAAAGGAAUUGACGGGGGCCCGCACAAGCGGAGGAACAUGUGGUUUAAUUCGAUGAUACGCGAGGAACCUUACCUGGGCUUAAAUGUAGAGUGCAUUGUUUGGAAACAAACAUUUUCUUCGGAACUCUUUACAAGGUGCUGCAUGGUUGUCGUCAGCUCGUGCCGUGAGGUGUCGGGUUAAGUCCCAUAACGAGCGCAACCCCUAUUGUUAGUUACCAGCACGUAAUGGUGGGGACUCUAGCAAGACUGCCGGUGUAAACCGUGAGGAAGGUGGGGAUGACGUCAAAUCAGCACGGCCCUUAUGUCCAGGGCUACACACGUGUUACAAUGGCAAGUACAAAGAGCAGCCACCUGGCGACAGGGCGCUAAUCUCAAAAGCUUGCCUCAGUUCGGAUCGAAGUCUGCAACUCGACUUCGUGAAGGUGGAUUCGCUAGUAAUCGCGCAUCAGCCAUGGCGCGGUGAAUACGUUCCCGGGCAUUGUACACACCGCCCGUCAAGCCAUGGAAGCUGGGGGUACCUGAAGUCCGUAACCGCAAGGA
Molecule: ribosomal RNA, 1353 nt
Filed under: uncultured organism
Description: 16S ribosomal RNA
Rfam family: Bacterial small subunit ribosomal RNA
Source: RNAcentral